Molecule: long non-coding RNA, 1358 nt
Organism: Trachemys scripta elegans
Lineage: Eukaryota; Metazoa; Chordata; Testudines; Emydidae
Exons: 4
Source: RefSeq, a predicted model, not a curated record
UCUAAGUAAAUAGACACAUUGAUGUCCUUCUGCAAUAUAAAAUAGUGGAAAACUCAUCCCAGACCAGUUGAAAAGAAAUGGAGCUGCAUCAGGACCAGCACUACAUUGUCACAGGCUUACGCCACAUAUACUUUAGUCAAAGAAAGUUUUUCAAGUGACACCAUUGAGAGUCUGUAGGGGAAAGGCUGAGAAACAGAUUAAAAUGUUCUGCUGGUACUCUGACCCUGGGGAAAUUAUCCUACUGCGUGACAGCAAAACACUCUAUGAAUUAAUGACUAAGCCUUCUGCUAUCAUAGGCAAGCACCUUCAGCCAUUGCCUUCAGGCAGUUAAGAGUAUUUUUUAGUGCCUGCUUAUGCUCUCAGCACUUGUCAGGCUUGGGUUAUAUAGUUCCAGGUGGAACUCCUAAUAAAGUCACUGAGGCCAACAUUUUCAGAUUUGGGUGCUUAAAGUUAGGAAUCAACCCUCAUAUUUUGAUACUUUAAUAAAUGGCCUGAUUUUCAGAGGGGCUGAAUACCCUCAUCUCCUAUUGGCUUCAGCCCAUGUUUUGACUGCGGAAAAACAAGACUGAGCUGUCUGGGAACCCUCCUGUGUGACUGUCUUCAGGCAAGCAUCUCCCUAACUUAAUCAGUGAAAGCAUCAAGUAGAGCAAAAGGGGAUGGACACUGAAAAUGGAAACAUGAAUAUAUUUGAGGACCAUCCAUCUUCUCGAUGGUGACAGAUGAGACCAGAAAUGAAGGAGCUAAGUGGAAUGGGAGCCCAACAAUGAUAUUCCUUUCCAUGUCUGCAGAGCACAAACAGAACAACGUUGACCAGAGCUGGCAAGAGCAGACAUCAAGUUCGCUAGAUUAGAAAAUGUAUGGAUCAAAGUGGCUUGAUGAAAUGGGUCACAGUAGGAGUCUCCUCAGCACUCAAUAUCACACAAAGUGGUGUUGCCUUAAGAACAGCUUCACAAAAGAAUAAUGCAAGAAUGCUGCUGGUGCGAGACCUGCCUAUCAUGCUGACCAACAUUGUCACAUUGUUUCCUUUUGCUCCCCCAUCUAUCUGUGUCCAUCUGUUGUCUCUAGUCUUAUAUUUGGAUUGCAAGCUCACUGGGGCAGGGAGCGUCUUUUUGUUGUGUGUUUAUACAGAACCUUGCACAAAGGGUUCUGGUCCAUGACUACCGCUCCUAGGUGCAACAGUAAUACAAAUAAAUAAAUAGUAAUAAAUCUCUACAGCUAACUGCUACCAUCGUUAUCAUGAAUGAGGCAAUCUAUAAUAAAGUUAUGUCAGUACUGAACAGAUAUUUGAGACUGUCAAUGGGAAAAGGGCACUUCUGCAAGAAAGGUGCUUGCAGAAAGUAGAACUUUGAUUUUUUUUU